RNAcentral lists this ribosomal RNA (446 nucleotides) under uncultured bacterium. Its description in RNAcentral is "partial 16S ribosomal RNA". It matches the Rfam family "Bacterial small subunit ribosomal RNA", at positions 338 to 795 of the family's 1533-position model. The record is from RNAcentral.
CCUACGGGUGGCAGCAGUCGAGAAUCAUUCACAAUGGGGGAAACCCUGAUGGUGCGACGCCGCGUGGGGGAAUGAAGGUCUUCGGAUUGUAAACCCCUGUCAUGUGGGAGCAAAUUAAAAAGAUCGUACCACAAGAGGAAGAGACGGCUAACUCUGUGCCAGCAGCCGCGGUAAUACAGAGGUCUCAAGCGUUGUUCGGAAUCACUGGGCGUAAGGCGUGCGGAGGCUGUUUCGUAAGUCGUGUGUGAAAGGCGCGGGCUCAACCCGCGGACGGCACAUGAUACUGCGAGACUAGAGUAAUGGAGGGGGAGCCGGAAUUCUCGGUGUAGCAGUGAAAUGCGUAGAUAUCGAGAGGAACACUCGUGGCGAAGGCGGGUUCCUGGACAUUAACUGACGCUGAGGCACGAAGGCCAGGGGAGCGAAAGGGAUUAGAUACCCCAGUAGUC